GAAUAAAACAACCUCCGAGUGAUUUAAAUCUAGACUAACCAGUUCGAAAAUAUUACAUCACUUUAUUGAUCCAAAAACUUGAUCAACGGAACAAG
This 95-nucleotide ribosomal RNA is filed under the name Panthera leo (lion). Its description in RNAcentral is "partial 16S ribosomal RNA". Lineage: Eukaryota; Metazoa; Chordata; Mammalia; Carnivora; Felidae. The record is from RNAcentral.